Anguilla rostrata (American eel) is the source of this 679-nucleotide long non-coding RNA. RefSeq lists it as uncharacterized. The transcript is spliced from 3 exons. The record is from RefSeq and is a predicted model, not a curated record. Lineage: Eukaryota; Metazoa; Chordata; Actinopteri; Anguilliformes; Anguillidae.
UACGUGCGGUGGAGGAGUGGUUUCUAACCUGGUUUGUGGCCUGCGGCCUGUGUUGCGUUUGCUUGUUUUUUUAUUCUGUCUCUAGGUUCGCUAGCGUCUCUUCAUUAAGCUCGUGUGCGUUUCCCGUGUGGAUGGCGUGGUUUCUCAUAACGGACGGGUUUCUGACGCGAUGUACGUGCGGGGCCUGACCUCGCUCGCGUCUGCCGAAGAAACUCGAGAUUGCGGCGUGCCCGGCUCACGAGACGUCGCGCGUCAGUAAACCGGGCUUUAUUUGCAUAAGAUUACAGAUGGGCUGAAUGGCCUGUUCUCCUCAUUAUGUUCUAUAUGGGCUGGAUCUGUGCUAGAUUAUUUUAGAAAUACGAGAGGAAACUCAAAGGUAAUUGACAAACACUAUUAUAAAAAAUACAAUUGAACUAAAUAUAAAUUGUAUUAUUGCAUUGAUUGCUCUUUAAUUGUUUUAUAACAACAUAUUGCGCUCUCAAAAAGGAUGAGUUCACAUCCAACUUACUUUUUGUGUUUAUACUUACCCGUUACUAAUUGUGUUACAGAUAUACAUUUUAGGUGUUACAAAGCGAGACUUUUUUACGCAGACUGUUUAAAAGUAAUAUAAAAUGUGUUGUCCUAAACUACGCACGGAGGUGUGUUAAAAAUGGCACGUUGGGCGUUGUUUUUAACACCU